Molecule: ribosomal RNA, 440 nt
Filed under: uncultured bacterium
Lineage: Bacteria
Description: partial 16S ribosomal RNA
Rfam family: Bacterial small subunit ribosomal RNA
Source: RNAcentral
CCUACGGGUGGCAGCAGUGGGGAAUAUUGCACAAUGGGGGCAACCCUGAUGCAGCAACGCCGCGUGAAUGAAGAAGUAUUUCGGGAUGUAAAGCUCUAUCAGCAGGGAAGAAGAUGACGGUGCCUGCAUAAGAAGCCCCGGCUAACUACGUGCCAGCAGCCGCGGUAAUACGUAGGGGGCAAGCGUUAUCCGGAGUUACUGGGUGUAAAGGGCGCGUAGACGGUGAUGCAAGUCUGGAGUGAAAGGCGGGGGCUCAACCCCCGGACUGCUCUGGAAACUGUGUAACUUGAGUGCAGGAGAGGUAAGCGGAAUUCCGAGUGUAGCGGUGAAAUGCGUAGAUAUUAGGAGGAACACCAGUGGCGAAGGCGGCCUACUGGACUGUAACUGACGUUGAGGCGCGAAAGCGUGGGGAGCAAACAGGAUUAGAUACCCGUGUAGUC